AACAGGAUUAGAUACCCUGGUAGUCCACGCCGUAAACGUUGGGCGCUAGGUGUGGGGACUGUUUCCACGGUCUCCGUGCCGUCGCUAACGCAUUAAGCGCCCCGCCUGGGGAGUACGGCCGCAAGGCUAAAACUCAAAGGAAUUGACGGGGGCCCGCACAAGCGGCGGAGCAUGCGGCUUAAUUCGAUGCAACGCGAAGAACCUUACCAGGGCUUGACAUGCACGGUGCAGCCGUAGAGAUACGGUGUCCUUUGGGGUCGUGCACAGGUGGUGCAUGGUUGUCGUCAGCUCGUGUCGUGAGAUGUUGGGUUAAGUCCCGCAACGAGCGCAACCCUCGUCCUGUAUUGCCAGCAUGCCCCUUCGGGGGUGAUGGGGACUUGCGGGAGACUGCCGGGGUCAACUCGGAGGAAGGUGGGGAUGACGUCAAAUCAUCAUGCCCCUUAUGUCCUGGGCUGCACGCAUGCUACAAUGGCCGGUACAGAGGGCUGCGAUACCGUGAGGUGGAGCGAAUCCCGUAAAGCCGGUCUCAGUUCGGAUCGGGGUCUGCAACUCGACCCCGUGAAGUCGGAGUCGCUAGUAAUCGCAGAUCAGCAACGCUGCGGUGAAUACGUUCCCGGGCCUUGUACACACCGCCCGUCACGUCACGAAAGUCGGUAACACCCGAAGCCCAUGGCCCAACCCUCCGGGGAGGGAGUGGUCGAAGGUGGGACUGGCGAUUGGGACGAAGUCGUAACAAGGUAACC
RNAcentral lists this ribosomal RNA (743 nucleotides) under uncultured Actinomycetes bacterium. Its description in RNAcentral is "bacterial SSU rRNA". It matches the Rfam family "Bacterial small subunit ribosomal RNA", at positions 771 to 1501 of the family's 1533-position model. Lineage: Bacteria; Bacillati; Actinomycetota; Actinomycetes. The record is from RNAcentral.